RNAcentral lists this long non-coding RNA (1431 nucleotides) under Homo sapiens (human). Its description in RNAcentral is "non-protein coding lnc-PLPPR5-4:2". The record is from RNAcentral. Lineage: Eukaryota; Metazoa; Chordata; Mammalia; Primates; Hominidae.
AUACUACUCAGAUUCCCAAAACUUUCGAGGACCUGAUUGCUGUCUCUCUGGGUUAUGUCCUUCUUUACUUGAGCAUUGUAAACUUAUUCAUGGAAACAUUUAAGUAAAAAUCAGAUACUCUUCUAUUGCAGUAGUGGAUUUUCUAUUAACUUUGACAAAUCUCAUCAUUUCCUUGGUAUGUUGGCAGGAAAAACACAGUCAAGUUGAAAGAACCUAAAAUGAUUAUCUAGUUUUGGCUCUAUUUAAAGAGAGGAUUGCUGAAAUUAAUUCUAGAUAUUUAAAACAUUUGGAUGUUAGUUAAUCUGCAGUUGAUAUUUGCAGGGGAUCAUUGCAUGUGUUAACUGCUGCAAAAAAAAAAAAAAAAAAAAGCCAGCCCCAAACUCAGUGGCUUCAAAUAAUAAACAUGUAUUAUUACUUGAGUAUACUUAUGCAUCCUGUCAGGGCUGAAUUGUGUAGGUUGUUCUGCUUAUCUUGACUGAACUCUUUCACACAUUUGGGAUUUGCUGCCUGUAGAGUAGUCUGGUAGAUUUGGCUCCAUCACGUGGACUCUUCUCCCUGUCGUCUCUCAUCCUCCGUCAGACAAAUUAGGAGUCGCUCACAUAGGAAUGGCAGGGUUCCAGUAUUAUUUUUUGAAUACAGUGAUGACAUCCUACUUUUAUGUUCAUUCUGAAUUAAUAAAAUAUGUAGUAACUGUUAGUGCAAACAAUUGUGACCUGACUGGAAGAAAACGAAAAUCCUUGAGGAUGUUUUCACACACAAUAAAUGCAUACUAAUUAAGCUAGUAUGAAGCUUUACAUUCAGAGAAAAAUAAGAUUUUUAGAUUCAAGAGUCCAUGUGCAGGUUUGUUGUUUAGGUAAAUUGUGUGAAACUGGGGUUUGGUGUACAGAUUAUUUUGUCACCCAAGUAGUAAGGAUAGUACAUGAUAGGUAGUUUUUUGAUCCUCACCCUCCUCCCACUGUCCACCCUCAAGUGGGCCCUAGUGUCCUUGUGUUCCUUCCUUGUGCUCAUAUAUACUCAGUGUUGAACUCACACUUAUAAGUGAUAGCAUGUAGUAUUUGAUUUUCUUUUCCUGUGUGUGUUUGCCUAGGAUAAUGGCCUUCAGCUCCAUCCAUAUUUCUGCAAAAGACCUGUGAUCUCAGCUACUCGGGAGGCUGAGGCAUGAGAAUCGCUUGAAUCCAGGAGGCAGAGGUUGCAUAUAAGGGUAUAAUCUUUAAAAAUUAUCGCAACAAUUUGAUGUACAAGUUAUCCCCAUUUGCAAAUGAGAAAAGUCAUGUCAGAGAGUUUAAGUCCUUUGCGAAAGUCUGGGUCCAUGCAUAUAUGCUAUGUACAUACAUAGCUACAUACAUAUAUGCUAUGUAUUAUCUGACUGACUUAUGCUAAAUAUAGACAUUCUAUAAAGCAUCCUGUCCUAGGUACAUGGCUUAUCACUAU